CUUCUAAUGUUCUGGGAAUUACAUCUCCUCUCAGGAGGACAAUAACUUUACGGUACUUCAACCUCCCUUGAGGAUACCGCCAUUAACAAUCUGAGCUGCUAAUUUAACUACCAAUGAUAA
Long non-coding RNA from Haliotis rubra (blacklip abalone), 120 nucleotides. RefSeq lists it as uncharacterized. The record is from RefSeq and is a predicted model, not a curated record. The transcript has 3 exons. Lineage: Eukaryota; Metazoa; Mollusca; Gastropoda; Lepetellida; Haliotidae.